RNAcentral lists this transfer RNA (88 nucleotides) under Candidatus Altimarinota bacterium. Its description in RNAcentral is "tRNA-Ser". It matches the Rfam family "tRNA". From Rfam's summary of the family: Transfer RNA (tRNA) molecules are approximately 80 nucleotides in length. Their secondary structure includes four short double-helical elements and three loops (D, anti-codon, and T loops). Lineage: Bacteria; Candidatus Altimarinota. The record is from RNAcentral.
GGAAAGGUGGCAGAGUGGUCUAUUGCGCACGCUUGGAAAGUGUGUUUCGUUAACGCGAACAGGAGUUCGAAUCUCCUCUUUUCCGCCA